AUUGAACGCUGGCGGCAGGCUUAACACAUGCAAGUCGAGCGGGGGGAGGUAGCUUGCUACCGGACCUAGCGGCGGACGGGUGAGUAAUGCUUAGGAAUCUGCCUAUUAGUGGGGGACAACAUCUCGAAAGGGAUGCUAAUACCGCAUACGUCCUACGGGGGAAAGCAGGGGAUCUUCGGACCUUGCGCUAAUAGAUGAGCCUAAGUCGGAUUAGCUAGUUGGUGGGGUAAAGGCCUACCAAGGCGACGAUCUGUAGCGGGUCUGAGAGGAUGAUCCGCCACACUGGGACUGAGACACGGCCCAGACUCCUACGGGAGGCAGCAGUGGGGAAUAUUGGACAAUGGGCGCAAGCCUGAUCCAGCCAUGCCGCGUGUGUGAAGAAGGCCUUUUGGUUGUAAAGCACUUUAAGCGAGGAGGAGGCUCCUUUAGUUAAUACCUAAAGAGAGUGGACGUUACUCGCAGAAUAAGCACCGGCUAACUCUGUGCCAGCCGCCGCGGUAA
RNAcentral lists this ribosomal RNA (501 nucleotides) under uncultured bacterium. Its description in RNAcentral is "partial 16S ribosomal RNA". It matches the Rfam family "Bacterial small subunit ribosomal RNA", at positions 30 to 523 of the family's 1533-position model. The record is from RNAcentral.